Molecule: ribosomal RNA, 516 nt
Filed under: Triticum aestivum (bread wheat)
Lineage: Eukaryota; Viridiplantae; Streptophyta; Magnoliopsida; Poales; Poaceae
Description: partial small subunit ribosomal RNA
Source: RNAcentral
AUGGACCGGGGGCGAUCCGCAGCCGUCCACGGAGGAGCGGGCGGCCGAUGCAGCGCCGGUCCACCGGGCCCUCGUGGGGGAGAAACGCCCACGGCUAUAAAGGCAAGCGGCCGCGCCCCGUCAGCUCAUCCGGUUGGUCGGUCUCCUUCCCUCCCUCCCUAUCGUCUGUUUCCUUCGGCCGAAAAGCUCCCCUGUUCCCUGCGCCUCCUCCGCCUCUCCUCGUCCCCGGCCUCCGCUCCGUCUGCUCUCGGUAAUUGGAUGGCCUCGCCUAAGACGCCGACACAGUCCACCGGCGCCCAGGAGGAGGCCGCGGCCCGCCAGUCGCUCAUCGGGAUCUCCCAGUCCACCCCGGCGGCGGGAGAAGCCCUGAGCGUCAAGUCACCGAACGGACGCAUGGAACACGGGCAGGACGACAGCGGGGCGGCCGACAAGUCCAGGUCGAUGCUCAUGUCCAUCUCCAACCAGUCGCCGGAGGCGCGCCAAGCCACGCCGUGCCCGCACAGCAACGCCGCUUGA